AGAGUUUGAUCAUGGCUCAGAACGAACGCUGGCGGCAUGCCUAAUACAUGCAAGUCGCACGAGAAAGUCCUCGGGAUGAGUAGAGUGGCGCACGGGUGAGUAAUGCAUAGGAACGUACCAUCGGGUGGGGAAUAACCACGGGAAACUGUGGCUAAUACCGCAUGAUGUCGAGAGACCAAAGCAGCCCUCUGUUUACAAGG
This 200-nucleotide ribosomal RNA is filed under the name uncultured bacterium. RNAcentral describes it as "partial 16S ribosomal RNA". It matches the Rfam family "Bacterial small subunit ribosomal RNA", at positions 8 to 215 of the family's 1533-position model. The record is from RNAcentral.